RNAcentral lists this ribosomal RNA (253 nucleotides) under uncultured bacterium. Its description in RNAcentral is "partial 16S ribosomal RNA". It matches the Rfam family "Bacterial small subunit ribosomal RNA", at positions 524 to 776 of the family's 1533-position model. The record is from RNAcentral.
UACGUAGGGGGCAAGCGUUGUCCGGAUUUAUUGGGCGUAAAGAGCGUGUAGGCGGCCAAACAGGUCAGCUGUGAAAACUCGAGGCUCAACCUCGAGACGUCGGUUGAAACCGUAUGGCUAGAGUCCGGAAGAGGAGAGUGGAAUUCCCGGUGUAGCGGUGAAAUGCGCAGAUAUCGGGAAGAACACCCGUGGCGAAGGCGGCUCUCUGGGACGGUACUGACGCUGAGACGCGAAAGCGUGGGGAGCGAACAGG